This is a long non-coding RNA of Oreochromis aureus, 1075 nucleotides long. The record is from Ensembl. Lineage: Eukaryota; Metazoa; Chordata; Actinopteri; Cichliformes; Cichlidae.
GGGGAGGAGCGUUGCCAUGUGUUCGUGUAACAUGGAGGGAGAGCUGUUCUUCAGCGUGCACUGGAAGAACAUCGAGCCAUUUGCCCAGUUACAGAAAUUGAAGCAAAGGAAGGUGAUGAUGUCAUCCUCCAGUUUCAUGUGGAUCCCCCUGUCAACCUGUCUGCGUUCACCAUGGAUUGGUCAAGAACCAACCCGAGUGUGGUCGUCUACUCCUAUCGACACCAACAGGAGUCACAUAACGCAGAGAUGAAUGCAACAGUCAGACGUGAAGACCUGAACAGAGGAAAUCUGACACUGUGGAUCCCCUCAGUACAGAUGUCCCACAGUGGAAAAUACACAGGCUUCGUUAUGGACCUCGGGAUCAAGUGUAGUGUUCAACUUAAUGUAACAAAAGACAAACUGAAAAAGCAAAAGGGGCAUGAUGACUUAAGCACAACUGGAGCUCCUCUCAACACGACGGUGGAGAAAGUCGGUCCACGUGGUGACAUGAUGCUGAUCAUUGGGAUUGUUCUUUCUUGCGGCAUCACUCUUCUCUUGAUGAUUGUUGUUCUGGGAUUGCUUGGAAAGCUCAAGGGAUUUGUGAGAUGGUGCCGAGGAGGAACCAGCCACCAAAUGAUGAUCCCACUGAAAAUUAAACCAUCUUAUGAAAUUUAGCAGAAUGCAGUGAUUAACAAAUCAUGUGCUGCCAAUAAGAGAGAGGGAACUUUAAAAAAGGAUUUUAUAUGUGUAAGGAAAACACUUAGCUGUAAAAGAGGUAUUACAUGUGAACACAAUGACUCUAGAACAAGAUGACAAAGUGAUACCAGAGGUGCAUCUCAGAUGAGUUUGAAUCUCUGUGACCUUGUCCUUAACCUCCUAAGACCCAAAGUCUUUCAUGUCAUGCAUUUUUAAUUUCUCUUUGCUAUUUGGGCUGAUUGAGACCUGAUGAAUGUAAAAACAAAGAAUUUUUUAUUUUUUUAUUUUAUUUUUUUUUUUUUUUACCUGAUGUAGUUUCUGAGAAGAGGAUAUCAGGCCUUGUACAGCAAAAUUUAGUAAUUGUAGUCUAGACCAGAGGUUCCCAAAGUGUGGGGCCAGC